RNAcentral lists this ribosomal RNA (216 nucleotides) under Glomeromycotina sp. RNAcentral describes it as "partial small subunit ribosomal RNA". The stretch from base 92 to 216 matches the Rfam family "Eukaryotic small subunit ribosomal RNA", at positions 738 to 864 of the family's 1831-position model. The record is from RNAcentral. Lineage: Eukaryota; Fungi; Glomeromycota.
GGGUCAGUAGGUUGGUCGUGCCACCGGUACGUACUGGUCUCACUGAUUCCUCCUUCCUGAAGAGCCGUAAUGCCAUUAAUUUGGUGCUGCGGGGAAACAGGACUGUUACUUUGAAAAAAUUAGAGUGUUUAAGGCAAGCUAACGCUUGAAUACAUUAGCAUGGAAUAAUGAAAUAGGACGAUCGAUCCUAUUUUGUUGGUUUCUAGGAUUGACGUA